Molecule: ribosomal RNA, 408 nt
Filed under: uncultured bacterium
Lineage: Bacteria
Description: partial 16S ribosomal RNA
Rfam family: Bacterial small subunit ribosomal RNA
Source: RNAcentral
GAUGAACGCUGGCGGCGUGCUUAACACAUGCAAGUCGAACGAAGUGGCGAACGGGAGAGUAACGCGGAAUCAACCUGCCCUUCAGAGGGGGACAACAGUUGGAAACGACUGCUAAUACCGCAUACUGAAGGAGGGGAUUGCGUCUGAGUAGCUAGUGGGAGGGGGAACGGCCCACCAAGGCGAUGAUCAGUAGCCGGUUGGGUAGGUGUAACGGCCAAAUUUGGACUUAGCCACGGCCCAGACUCCUACGGGAGGCAGCAGUUGGGAAUCUUCCGCAAUGGACGAAAGUCUGACGGAGCAACGCCGCGUGAGUGAUGACGGCCUUCGGGUUGUAAAGCUCUGUUAAUCGGGACGCGGUACCGGAAUAGAAAGCCACGGCUAACUACGUGCCAGCAGCCGCGGUAAUAC